Molecule: non-coding RNA, 419 nt
Organism: Pelobates cultripes (western spadefoot toad)
Lineage: Eukaryota; Metazoa; Chordata; Amphibia; Anura; Pelobatidae
Source: the annotation of a GenBank genome assembly
CACCCAUCAUCCAGCACUCACACACCCAUCAUCCAGCACUCACACACCCAUCAUCCAGCACUCACACCCAUCAUCCAGCACUCACACACCCAUCAUCCAGCACACACACACCCAUCAUCCAGCACACACACACACAUCAUCCAGCACAUACACCCAUCAUCCAGCACUCACACACCCAUCAUCCAGCACACACACACCCAUCAUCCAGCACUCACACACCCAUCAUCCAGCACUCACACACACAUCAUCCAGCACACACACACACAUCAUCCAGCACACACACACACACAUCAUCCAGCACUCGCACACACAUCAUCCAGCACACACACACACACACAUCAUCCAGCACUCACACACCCAUCAUCCAGCACUCACACACAUCAUCCAGCACUCACACACCCAUCAUCCAGCACACACAC